Molecule: ribosomal RNA, 450 nt
Filed under: uncultured bacterium
Lineage: Bacteria
Description: partial 16S ribosomal RNA
Rfam family: Bacterial small subunit ribosomal RNA
Source: RNAcentral
GUGGGGAAUAUUGGACAAUGGGCGAAAGCCUGAUCCAGCCAUGCCGCGUGUGUGAAGAAGGUCUUCGGAUUGUAAAGCACUUUAAGUUGGGAGGAAGGGUAGUAACCUAAUACGUUGCUACUUUGACGUUACCGACAGAAUAAGCACCGGCUAACUUCGUGCCAGCAGCCGCGGUAAUACGAAGGGUGCAAGCGUUAAUCGGAAUUACUGGGCGUAAAGCGCGCGUAGGUGGUUCAGUAAGUUGGAAGUGAAAUCCCCGGGCUCAACCUGGGAACUGCUUUCAAAACUGCUGAGCUAGAGUACGGUAGAGGGUGGUGGAAUUUCCUGUGUAGCGGUGAAAUGCGUAGAUAUAGGAAGGAACACCAGUGGCGAAGGCGACCACCUGGACUGAUACUGACACUGAGGUGCGAAAGCGUGGGGAGCAAACAGGAUUUGAUACCCGAGUAGUCC